This 374-nucleotide ribosomal RNA is filed under the name uncultured eukaryote. RNAcentral's name for it is "partial 18S ribosomal RNA". It matches the Rfam family "Eukaryotic small subunit ribosomal RNA", at positions 592 to 975 of the family's 1831-position model. The record is from RNAcentral.
CAAUAGCGUAUAUUUAAGUUGUUGCAAUUAAAAAGCUCGUAGUUGGAUUUCGGUUAAGAGCGACCGGUCCGCCGUUUGGUGUGCACUGGUUGGUUUUAACUUCCUGUAGAGGACGUGCUCUGGGUUUAACGACCUGGACUCGGAGUCUACGUGGUUACUUUGAAAAAAUUAGAGUGUUCAAAGCGGGCUUACGCUUGAAUAUUUCAGCAUGGAAUAACACUAUAGGACUCCUGUCCUAUUUCGUUGGUCUCGGGACGGGAGUAAUGAUUAAGAGGAACAGUUGGGGGCAUUCGUAUUUCAUUGUCAGAGGUGAAAUUCUUGGAUUUAUGAAAGACGAACUUCUGCGAAAGCAUUUGCCAAGGAUGUUUUCAUUA